RNAcentral lists this ribosomal RNA (256 nucleotides) under uncultured bacterium. Its description in RNAcentral is "partial 16S ribosomal RNA". It matches the Rfam family "Bacterial small subunit ribosomal RNA", at positions 524 to 776 of the family's 1533-position model. The record is from RNAcentral.
UACGGAGGGUGCGAGCGUUGUCCGGAAUCACUGGGCGUAAAGGGCGCGUAGGCGGCGCGGGAAGUCAUCGGUGAAAGUUCAGGGCUCAACUCUGAAUCGGCCGGUGAUACUCUCGUGCUCGAGCACUGUAGAGGCAGGUGGAAUUCCGGGGUGUAGCGGUGGGAAUGCGUAGAGAUCCGGAAGAACACCGGUGGCGAAGGCGGCCUGCUGGGCAGUAGCUGACGCUGAUGCGCGACAGCGUGGGGGAGCAAACAGG